RNAcentral lists this ribosomal RNA (405 nucleotides) under bacterium. Its description in RNAcentral is "partial 16S ribosomal RNA". It matches the Rfam family "Bacterial small subunit ribosomal RNA", at positions 355 to 776 of the family's 1533-position model. The record is from RNAcentral.
UAAGGAAUAUUGCGCAAUGGGGGAAACCCUGACGCAGCAACGCCGCGUGGAGGAUGACACUUUUCGGAGCGUAAACUCCUUUUAUCAGGAAAGAAUAAUGACGGUACCUGAUGAAUAAGCACCGGCUAACUCCGUGCCAGCAGCCGCGGUAAUACGGGGGGUGCAAGCGUUACUCGGAAUCACUGGGCGUAAAGGACGCGUAGGCGGAUUAUCAAGUCUUUUGUGAAAUCUAGUGGCUUAACCACUAAACUGCUUAGGAAACUGAUAGUCUAGAGUAGGGGAGAGGUAGAUGGAAUUCUUGGUGUAGGGGUAAAAUCCGUAGAGAUCAAGAAGAAUACCCAUUGCGAAAGCGAUCUGUUGGAACCUAACUGACGCUGAGGCGUGAAAGCGUGGGUAGCAAACAGG